GGAUAAUCUACCCUACGGUGGGGGAUAACCCCGGGAAACUGGGGAUAAUACCCCAUAGACUAUGGAUGCUGGAAUGCUCUGUAGCCGAAAGGUCCGCCGCCAUAGGAUGAGUCUGCGGCCGAUUAGGUUGUUGUUGGGGUAACGGCCCAACAAGCCUGUAAUCGGUACGGGUUGUGGGAGCAAGAGCCCGGAGAUGGAUUCUGAGACACGAAUCCAGGCCCUACGGGGCGCAGCAGGCGCGAAAACUUUGCAAUGCGAGAAACCGUGACAAGGGAACUCCGAGUGCCCGUAAAUUCGGGCUGUCCAUCUGUGUAAAAAACAGGUGAAGAAAGGGCCGGGCAAGACCGGUGCCAGCCGCCGCGGUAAUACCGGCGGCUCGAGUGGUGGCCACUAUUACUGGGCUUAAAGCGUCCGUAGCUGGUCUGUUAAGUCUCUGGGGAAAUCUUCCGGCUUAACCGGAAGGCGUCCCAGGGAUACUGGCAGACUAGGGACCGGGAGAGGUGAGAGGUGCUCCAGGGGUAGGAGUGAAAUCCUGUAAUCCUUGGGGGACCACCUGUGGCGAAGGCGUCUCACCAGAACGGCUCCGACAGUGAGGGACGAAAGCUGGGGGAGCAAACCGGAUUAGAUACCCGGGUAGUCCCAGCCGUAAACGAUGCGCGUUAGGUGUAUC
This 670-nucleotide ribosomal RNA is filed under the name uncultured Methanomicrobiaceae archaeon. Its description in RNAcentral is "SSU rRNA". It matches the Rfam family "Archaeal small subunit ribosomal RNA", at positions 102 to 777 of the family's 1478-position model. The record is from RNAcentral. Lineage: Archaea; Methanobacteriati; Methanobacteriota; Methanomicrobia; Methanomicrobiales; Methanomicrobiaceae.